GGCCCCAUCGUCUAGUCGGUUAAGAUAUCUCCUUGACAUGGAGAAGAUUCACUGGUUCGAAUCCAGUUGGGGCUACCA
RNAcentral lists this transfer RNA (78 nucleotides) under Wenyingzhuangia sp. 2_MG-2023. RNAcentral's name for it is "tRNA-Val". It matches the Rfam family "tRNA". Rfam says of the family: Transfer RNA (tRNA) molecules are approximately 80 nucleotides in length. Their secondary structure includes four short double-helical elements and three loops (D, anti-codon, and T loops). Lineage: Bacteria; Pseudomonadati; Bacteroidota; Flavobacteriia; Flavobacteriales; Flavobacteriaceae. The record is from RNAcentral.